Felis catus (domestic cat) is the source of this 2120-nucleotide long non-coding RNA. RefSeq lists it as uncharacterized. Lineage: Eukaryota; Metazoa; Chordata; Mammalia; Carnivora; Felidae. The transcript is spliced from 4 exons. The record is from RefSeq and is a predicted model, not a curated record.
CCCCUCCCCACAAUGAAGAGUGAUACUGCCAGGCAAAAGGCAACAAAAAGCAUUUCAUUAGCUUUCGGGUGACUUGGAAACUCUUGUCUAAAAAUACGGACAAGCAGGAGUGUGAAGGAGUGUGUGGGAGGGCUGUCCCCACAGUUCCCCACAGUUAGGACAACUGGGACCAGUUGUGGGAAAUGUGCCAAAAUGUCCCUGCCUAGAGCCUCUUUUAAAAUAAGCUCCCCUCCCACCCCGAGGUUUACAGGAAACUUCUCAGCAGAUGCAGGCAAUUUUCCCCCAGCCCUUGAAAUGGAAGACAAAGGAAGCUGAGUGACAGGGCAUCAGAAUGCGGAGAGAGGGCUCACCGGGCAGGCCGGACCAAUUAGCUGCCUUCCGCCCCUCGGCUCUCCGCGGUGGUCUCGGGGCGUUUAGUGGGGAAGUGAGGGGAGCCUGUGGGCCCUGGUGUGCUUGACACCCAAUUAGUGCUCAUCCCCCAGCUGACCGGCCAGCCUGCUCCCUUCCAGCUGCUCAGAAGCCCUCUCAACAGCAGCUCUGAGAACAGAGGGUGCUAAUUGGAUGCUGAAACCCCGACGACACCUCUCCAUCAGCCCAGCCCGGCCUUGUCCAGGCCCUGGCUUUCCGGAACGAGCUCCUGUCCCUGGUCCUAUCACCAACUCAUCGUCCCUGGGAAAAGGCCCUUCCUUUCAAGUAGAAACAGAGGAGCUGGCCUGCAGCUUCUGCCGGGAUUCUUGAAGAGCCCACAACAGGCCAGAGGCAAGCAUCUCUAUAACCAGGACCCAUCUUGUGAUCUUAAAAUCGUCGUUCUUGUGGCAGCGAUGGUGGCGUGGCCAACACUUACCGAACACGUGUGAUCUUCGUGGAGCUGCAGGGACGCCUGACCAGGCACCCACAGCCAGCCCCUGGACGGGUCAGUCGACAAAAUACCCUAUGGCCGUUUGAGGAAGGCAUAAGUCUUGUUUGUGAUCUGAAAGCCUUCUGUGGACACCUUCUGGGAAGAUCAAGAAAGAGCCAGCGUCGCAAAUGCAAAAGAAGUAUCAGUAGCUCGGAAGAAAAUCUCGGAGAUGCGGGCGGAGUGCUCUGUGAGAAAGUGCAGCAUCCUCUACGCCUGGCGUCUCAGAGGAUGACACUGCGUGGGAGACGUGGACACGGAUGGCUCUGAGUUGAAACAUGAUCCAGAGCAAGCUGGACCCUGAAGCCGGCAGGUGUGGACCCUGAGUAGGAAGGCUCGAGAUACUGUGGUUAACUCAGGCAUCUUCACAGCAGCAAGAUGGCCUCGGUAUAGUCACGCUGCCAACAUAGUGGUUGGCUUUCUCCCCAGAGCACAAAAGAAUGGAAGCCGCCAUGACUUCUUAAGGCCUUCUUGGAACUGGAAUAGUAUCACUUCCACAACAUUCUACCGGUUGAAAUAUGUCCCAGGGCCAGCCCAGAAUCAGGAGGAGGUCCCUCUGCUUGGAACGUUCUUCUUCCAGACAUGCAGAGCUGACUCCUCGCCAUUCAGAACUCAACUCCAAUCAACCUCCUCCAAGAGGCUGGCCCUGCUGUUGUCCCUCCCACUCAUCCCACUACCAUGUUUUAUUUCCCUUACAUGUAUUCCACGUGUCACCUAUUGAAAUGAUCUUUUAAAAAUAUAUUUAUUUAUUGCCUGUCUCCCCCACUGCCCCCCCCCCAACACUAGAACGUAGCUCUAUGAGAGCAAGAUCUUCCCAGUGUCUGGCACAGAGUAGAUGUUCAAUUAACAUAUGCUGUCCGAAUAGCUAAAUGGCCGGCCAUUCCUACCCACUGCUGUGUAAUUCAGCAGUUCUCGGCGGUAGAAUGUACCAUGAGUGAUUUGUGGUGAAUAAUAAAGGACCACGGCUGGGAGUGAUUUAUUUUGUAAGAAAAGGAUAAAUCAGAGGAGAUUCAAGGUCCUCGGCAUCAUGAUAGCUCUCUUACUUUAUCAAAUUUCAACACGGUUUCUGAGUGAAAGAGACAGAGGAGGAGUCGCAACAAGGGAAAUAGGAACGGUGUCCCCAGCCCCAUCUCUACCUCAGCUUUUCAGAAAUAACAGCCACUGAGAGGCACCUGGGUGGUUUGGUCAGUUGAGCAUCCAGCUCUGGCUCAGGUCAUGAUCUCAC